This is a long non-coding RNA of Wyeomyia smithii (pitcher-plant mosquito), 1048 nucleotides long. RefSeq lists it as uncharacterized. The transcript is spliced from 4 exons. NCBI's taxonomy places the organism in Eukaryota, Metazoa, Arthropoda, Insecta, Diptera, Culicidae. The record is from RefSeq and is a predicted model, not a curated record.
GAAUGGCUGGGUCUGACCGCUAGGUGGAUUAAUUUAGGUUUUAUAAAAUCGUUCAGAUUGCAGAUUAUAUGUACAGAAUUUUCGUUGGUUACCUCCGGUUUUUUGUCAAUACAAUAUUGUAAUGCUUCAAACAACCAAAUUAAUUUGUGUUCAGGUAGUUCCAAUUUCGGUGGUCAGAUUUGAAUCACUUUCGUUAGCUGAUUAUUUAAGUAAACCGUGGAUCGCUACGCAGCGAGUUUUUUCAAAAACCUAAAAACAUCUGUGAUUUAUCAUUUUGAGUAAGUAUGUUUCUUCGUUACGGUUCAACAAAGCAUCAUCAAUAUUUCGUCAACCAUAAAUCAGAUUUUUAGUUCCCAAUCGACAUUUUAUGAAGUUAAUCGUAUACAUGACGUUUCGAUUUGAUUUUUCCUUUGAGGCAAGAAAACUUCGAUGACUGUUGACAAAUUCCUAAUCUAUAAAGCCGUCUGAGCUAAUUAGAAGAUAAAUGUUGAUUUUGUUUUGCCUAUACAUAACCUCUCUGUCCAACAAGAAAUUCCCGUGACUAAAUACAUUUUUUCUAAAUUUAAGUUUCAGACCAAUAACCGUGAUAUUGCUUACUUAUAUAGCGAAUUAUCAUCCGCAGAGGAACAACCUAAAAAAGGAAGAAAAAAAAGAAGUUCUAAAAAACUGGCAUCUCCAGAGGAAUUUGCAUCACCCCGGAAAAUUCCAGACUUUCCAUUUGCACGAUUAAGCAACAUCGCAAAGUCUUCUGAAAUCCAUCAUGAUGACACGUGUGAAUAAAAAUACCGACGAUAUAUGAUUUGAAACAGUAACGGAAAGAGUGGUAUCUAUAAUUUUACAACCUAUAUAUACACACAUGGUGCAUCAGGUGGUGUUGAGAUACGAUGCACUCGUUCCCCCCCUCACAAGCCAAGGCAAGUGGCAAGCAAGGCAAGCAAAUCGGUGGCGUCUUCGGAGACAGAUGAAGCGAUUCUUGAUCUAACCACGUGUUCAUUGGCAACACCGCGGAACACGCAGAUUUCAGAACGUGCCGAUGAUAUUAUUUGUG